CCCCUAGAUGUUCUGGGCCGCACGCGCGCUACACUGAACAGUUCAACAAGUCUUAACCUUGGCUGAUAGGUCUGGGUAAUCUUUGAACGCUGUUCGUGAUUGGGAUAGACCUUUGCAAUUAUGGGUCUUCAACGAGGAAUUCCUAGUAAACGCAAGUCAUCAGCUUGCAUUGAUUACGUCCCUGCCCUUUGUACACACCGCCCGUCGCACCUACCGAUUGAAUGGUCCGGUGAAAUCUCGGGACGGCGGCUCGGUCGCUUGCGUCCGACUGCUGAAACUUGAUUAAACCAUAUCAUUUAGAGGAAGGUGAAGUCGUAACA
This 320-nucleotide ribosomal RNA is filed under the name uncultured eukaryote. RNAcentral describes it as "partial 18S ribosomal RNA". It matches the Rfam family "Eukaryotic small subunit ribosomal RNA", at positions 1470 to 1796 of the family's 1831-position model. The record is from RNAcentral.